RNAcentral lists this long non-coding RNA (491 nucleotides) under Setaria viridis. RNAcentral's name for it is "long non-coding RNA (SVIR_LNC000708)". The record is from RNAcentral. Lineage: Eukaryota; Viridiplantae; Streptophyta; Magnoliopsida; Poales; Poaceae.
AAGAUUUAUCAAAACAUGGAUUGGCAGUAAACUGGUUAGGGUUCUCUAUCUAGCUAAAUGGAUAUAAUCCUAUCAUGAAGCAUGGAUUGCAUAUAAAGGUAAACCCAAUCGUGAGAUAAGUAUUAUAGACAGAGUAAAUAGAUCACAUCCAUAUAUAUAAGGUAACACAACCAAAGGUAGCAUGAGCCUAUUGUCUUCUUGCUAUAGUUCCAGCCAAAGUGGUAACCAAUCUAUGUAGCAUCUUGAUAAAGAGUCAUCUCUCAGUAAGGCAGCUCGCAAGUGGCCUACUUUCUUGUGGUCACCACAAUGAGGUACGCGUUAACUCCUCUGAUUUCCCAAAGCUUUACCUCAAAUGACUCCCACAAAACUCGCCAUCGAUCCUACUCAACAUUACACAAUCGUUCGGCCUUUUCCCUCCCACAUGCUGUCACCACGCAAGGGUAAUCACACCGACUUCCUACGCACUACUAAGAUGUAUCCACAAGACAUAG